ACAUCAAUAAAUACUUCAUCAUACUUCGGACAAACUUAGCAUCAAUCCAAAUUACCGUAAAUGAUCCAAGACCAAUUAAGAGGUAGAUUUGAAAUGGAGAAAGUUCAUCAAGCAUCAAUCCACACAUCAUUAACCAGAUGGACAAAAACCAUUCAAUUGAUCUAGAGGAAAAGAAAUAGAUGAAGAAGAAGAGGACAAGAGAGAUGACACCCAAAUUAUAUCAAAGGUUUGAUCAAG
This 237-nucleotide long non-coding RNA is filed under the name Lathyrus oleraceus (garden pea). RNAcentral describes it as "Pisum sativum (pea) long non-coding RNA (PSAT_LNC025139)". Lineage: Eukaryota; Viridiplantae; Streptophyta; Magnoliopsida; Fabales; Fabaceae. The record is from RNAcentral.